GCAACGUGAGUGGGCUCUACUAACUUGCAGAAGCAGGUAGCUUGUUGGCACAUGUGGCUAAAAGGACAUGAGAAUGGCUUUGUACGAAGAGCAGAUGUAAAGUGUGAAAUGGUGCAGAUAGAUAUUCUGAACUAAAAUACGGAAGCUGAUGGGAAGGAGGAUUAUGAACUAGCGGCAGCAUUUUCUGCAUAGCCCAUGAAGGCUUGUACAUCAGUGAGCAAACCCUGUCACGCUCACAUUUUGGCCUUGCUGCAUAGAGGUUGGGGAGGAUACAGCAACAACACUUUGCACUUAGUGUUUUUCAUCUGAAUAUCUCAAUGUGUUUUACAUUGGUGAGUAAGUAUUCCUGCUCUCAUUUUACAUGCUGUGAAACUACAAUGCAAAGGGCAGUUAUGACUGUUAUCCAAUAAAAUACUGAAACACC
This is a long non-coding RNA of Gavialis gangeticus (Gharial), 424 nucleotides long. RefSeq lists it as uncharacterized. The transcript is spliced from 2 exons. Lineage: Eukaryota; Metazoa; Chordata; Crocodylia; Gavialidae. The record is from RefSeq and is a predicted model, not a curated record.